RNAcentral lists this ribosomal RNA (271 nucleotides) under uncultured bacterium. Its description in RNAcentral is "partial 16S ribosomal RNA". It matches the Rfam family "Bacterial small subunit ribosomal RNA", at positions 82 to 354 of the family's 1533-position model. The record is from RNAcentral.
CCUUUGCCGGCGACCGGCGCACGGGUGAGUAACACGUAUGCAACCUGCCCUCUUCAGGGGGACAACCUUCCGAAAGGGAGGCUAAUCCCGCGUAUAUCGGUUUCGGGCAUCCGAGAUCGAGGAAAGAUUCAUCGGAAGAGGAUGGGCAUGCGGCGCAUUAGCUAGACGGCGGGGUAACGGCCCACCGUGGCGACGAUGCGUAGGGGUUCUGAGAGGAAGGUCCCCCACACCGGUACUGAGACACGGACCAGACUCCUACGGGAGGCAGCAG